Molecule: long non-coding RNA, 3850 nt
Organism: Aethalodelphis obliquidens (Pacific white-sided dolphin)
Lineage: Eukaryota; Metazoa; Chordata; Mammalia; Artiodactyla; Delphinidae
Exons: 2
Source: RefSeq, a predicted model, not a curated record
GUUCCUCCUCGCACCUUUCCCCCUCCCCUGCACCCCGCCGCCCCCCGCUGCUGCAAGUUGGCUGGCUGGGGGAGCUUCUCUCCUUGACUCAGCCUGUGGCCUCCCAGGCAGCUCGUGCCCCAGGCCUGAGUGGAGAGCCCUGGGCUCUGAUUACACUUUAGUUUUUUCUAAGCUUGUGAGCAGCUCUGAAGUCCGGUGGAGUUGAAGGUCCAUUUAAGCGGCUACUUGCCUAAGCCCUUUUGUCAACACGGCCUAAUUCCUCGUUGGGGGUCAGUAUCAGGAGGCCCGGCUUGUCCAGGCGCGGCUGGCGACCCAGGGCGGACCUGGAGCUGCUGGGCAGGUGGCGUUGCCCCAUACGGCUGUCCGGCCGCUUUCGGGGCCUUGGGCAGAGGGCCUGCUCCUUGCAGCACCCAUCGCCUGGGUCUCGGUGGGCUUGGGCACUUGCUGUCACCCGCCCGGGAGUCUCCCAGCUGCUGAGCCUUUCAGUGGGACGGGGCGGGGAUGAGCCCAAGGUACAGAUCUGGAGGCCAAGGAACGUGCCCAAGGCAGCCCCUGCUCCCUGCCCCUGCUGCCACUGCCCAGGGUGGACCAGUGCCCGUGCCCGUCGGGGGGAGACGUGCGCUGGCAUCAGGCUGGACAGUGGGACUGGAAGGCUGAGUCCGCAGUGUCCCAAGGUCUCAGACCCCAGAGCCCUGGCUGCUAGUAGCCCCUUUGCCCGGGGAAGGGUGGGGGGCAGUAGCAGAGCAGGAGGUCCACUGGUCACCCUCUGGGCAGCCCUUGGGGACCUGGGAGAGCUUGGAGCCCCGGUAAGGGGCAUCUGGUAACAUCAGAGCCCUCGGGACCCAAAAUAGAGCACAUUCCGGGGCCUCCCGAAAUAACAGGGUCAUGUGUCUCUCUGGAGGCUGGGCUUGGAGGCUGGGCUUGGAGUCCGGCCUGCGAGGCAGUCCUGUCUUGGCCUGGGCACUGCUGACUGUUGGGGCGUUUGUUUUGGUAAACCCUGGAGGGGGCUCUGUUUGUUGACGGGGGAAGUGUCAGGGUGAGAAAAACAGCCCUCAGAUGGGUGUGGCCGUGGCCGUGGCCUUGCUGGCCUGCAUCCUUGCCUGGGCUUGGUCGCCUGUCUGCUGUGCCUGGGCCCAGCGUGUAGCCCUGACCCGCUCUGCCCGAACAUGGGUGGGGUGAGCUGGGGACCCCCGGGAGGAGCCACGGAGGGCGUGCGGGCGGGCAGCGCUGAGCUGGGGUUUGGCAGACUUGAGCGGGCAGCCCUGCUCGCCCCGGGGCAGCUGCUGGGGGCCUGAUCCCAGCUCCACCAGCUCUUCCAGCUGUGCCUGUCCUUCCGGGCCUGCGGGGAGCUGGGCCUCCUCCAGGAGGCCCUCUGCCUGCCUUUCCCUGGCCCCUGCCCCACCCCCUCUGUGCCUCUGUGGGCGGGUUUCGGUUGGUGGUCCUUGUCUCCCGUUCCGGGGGCUGGUGGUGGGAUUACUGUGUGGUACAGAAUGGGGCUGGUGUGGGUACCACGGGCUCUGGCAUCAGGAGAGGGGCCCCUCGGUGAGCCAAGGGGGGACAGACAGCGGCUGCACAGGAGGUGGUGUGGGGUCGGGGGGAGGCCCCAAGCGCCUGCCCAGAGCCGGUGGAAGCUGCCUCCGGACUUUCAUUUUCUUGGCUCGCCCGGGCUCUCUCCACAGUUGGUGUGUUUCCACGGUAGGCGGUGGUCUCGAGUAAGGCCCGUCCUCCAGGAGAAGAGGGCUCCUGGGCCCGACUCAGUUGCUGUCCAUAGGACAGAGCAGAGGCCACUGAAUUGGCUCAGGACAAGACGUGAUCCACCUUCCCUUUUCACCCACCCCUAGUCUGUCACAAUUUGUCUAGCUGGCUCUGGUGGCCAGGGCCUCGAGGUGUCCCGUCGACUGGUCUGUUCCUAUGGGAGCUGACUACAGGCUGGGUUAGGGCUGGGCAGGGGUGCAGGCCCUUGAGAACCUGGGUGGCUGGUGAGGUUGGUGUCUGCUUGGGGAUCAGAUCCCUUCGCCCUGACGUGCACGGUGCAGGUCUGUUACCUGGAUGCUGUGGAAGGUGCGGGGAGAGGGCCGGGCCCCUCCCCUCCCCUGCCUGCACUGCUGACGUUUUCCAAGGGGCAGCUCCAUCUUCGCUCUCCUUUCCUCUCCUCCUCAGGCCCCUUUGUCACUUGCUCCCCCUACCUGCUCUCUCUCGAAUGACCCGGCCAUUCCUGGGGAGAGGGGGAGCAGACCCUGGGAGCUGCACCUUCCUGGGGGACCGUGUCCUCUUGUGGGCUGGUGGUCAGGCCACUGGGGAUCGGGUCCUCUGUCCCUGCUGCCCGUGUGUGUGGCCUGCCUGCCGGCCUCCCGGAGCCUUAACUGUCCGUCUGUAAAAUGGACACGUGUGUUGGCCCUUCUACGGUGCUGGCGGAAAGGCAGCCCAUCUUAUUUCAGGGGCGUGUCUACCUGACGGCCCUUCUUCGAAGGCAAGGCCCGUGGCCGGAGCCUCCCCGUGCCCCCUGCCUGGAUCAGCGAGGGGCCCGGUUCUCGAGUGUUAGGCUGAAACAGGAGCACAAAGCAGAGGCAUGGCUGCUGCUGUCAGGGCUGCGGGGCCCACGCUGGAGAGGAGGGCCGCCCCGGCUUCGUCUCCCGUGCUGAGCGAGCACCGACACGGCCCCUGCUCCGUGCCCCCUCCCCAAGGCCCGCAGGAGCUGGGGGGGCGAGGGCCUCGCUUGCGGGCCCCCCGAGCCUGGCGCGGGAUGUUCCGAGCAGUCGUGCCCCGGUGCCUCACAGACGGAGAAAUUGCACCCUAGAGUUACAAAGCAGUCGUCUAGCUCAGAGCCGAGUGAGCGUGGUGGGGCAGAAAGCAGCUCAGUAAACCUGGCCCCGGCCGACGCGGAGGAGAGUGGGGACACGCGCACGUGGCGGCCCCGGUGCGCGCACGCUCAGGCGGCUGCAGCCGCGCGCUCGCUCUAGGCCCCGCAGCUGGGCCCUGCCUGCCCCGUGCCUGGCGCCGUCUGUCCUGUGUCCCUACGUCGGUGUGUCCUCUCGUGCCUGGGACCCGCGUCCCUGCGUGAGUGAAGCAAGUGAACGGGGUGGCCACUCAGGGACCCAUUUCCUUGGCCUCCAGAAGCCAGGUGGGCCUCCUUGGCCCGCGUCUGUCCCAUGUCUCUAAAUCUCUUCUGACGUGCCCGGGGCACUGUGCGUCCAUCCGAGGACAUGAUGGCUCCAGUCCCUGGGCGACUGCUGUGUCCCUGCGCCUCGGUUGCUAGGACCUCGUGACAGCCUCGUGGGGCCCACGGAAACGUGAGGUCCGUCGCGGUCUUUGUGCCGCGCUGCGCCUCUGCACGGUCCUGCCUGCUUUCUCUCAGCACCUUGGUGUCCCAGUGGCGGGGCCUGAGCACUAGCAGGGCCAGGACCAGUCCCUGGGGUGGCGCCACUGUCCUCCGACCUCCUGAUCGUCAGGUGUGGGUCUGUGCCCCGUCCUGGCUCCCCGGGAGCCCUGUUAUGCGUGUCGGGCCCUAGGUGAGGGAACGUUUUGUUCUGGGAGACUUGGUGGAGGUUGAAGCUUCACUGUCCCCGUCUGUCCCCGUUCUGUCCCCGUUCACCCCUCGAAGGUCCUCUGGGGAGUAGAGACCCCGAACCUCCUCCGCGGUUGUCCCCGGCUGGGAGUGGCGCAGGGUUGAGGGUAUUACUGAUAGACUGGAAAACCACGGGCUGGGUGACAGCUAGAGGCGCAGCCUCAAGACCCCCGUGGCCUGGGGUCCCCGUCCUCGCCCUGCCAGGGCAGAGCUGUCAGGCAGCAAAUUCCUGAGGGACCUGGUGGGGGUACUGGGCGAGGACAGCCACACCUGGUCCCCUUAUCU